AUUGAACGCUGGCGGCAGGCUUAACACAUGCAAGUCGAGCGAGCGGCGGACGGGUGAGUAAUGUCUGGGAAACUGCCUGAUGGAGGGGGAUAACUACUGGAAACGGUAGCUAAUACCGCAUACCAUCAGAUGUGCCCAGAUGGGAUUAGCUAGUAGGUGGGGUAAUGGCUCACCUAGGCGACGAUCCCUAGCUGGUCUGAGAGGAUGACCGGCACAAUUGUAACGGGGAAACGGUCCAGACUCCUACGUGAGGCAGCAGUGGGGAAUAUUGCACAAUGGGGGCAAGCCUGAUGCAGCCAUGCCGCGUGUAUGAAGAAGGCCUUAGGGUGGUAAAGUACUUUCAGCGGGGAGGCGUUACCCGCAGAAGAAGCACCGGCUAACUCCGUGCCAGCCGCCGCGGUAAUAC
RNAcentral lists this ribosomal RNA (406 nucleotides) under uncultured bacterium. RNAcentral describes it as "partial 16S ribosomal RNA". It matches the Rfam family "Bacterial small subunit ribosomal RNA", at positions 30 to 526 of the family's 1533-position model. The record is from RNAcentral.